Molecule: ribosomal RNA, 127 nt
Filed under: Tursiops truncatus (common bottlenose dolphin)
Lineage: Eukaryota; Metazoa; Chordata; Mammalia; Artiodactyla; Delphinidae
Source: RNAcentral
GUCUACAGCCAGACCACCCCGAGCACGCCACAUCCCAGGAAGCUAAGCAGGGCGGGGCCUGGUUAGUACUUGGAUUGGAGAAUUUCCUCUGCCCCUGACAACCCUAUAAAGCAAGUAGCUGUUCAGU